This 24-nucleotide small nuclear RNA is filed under the name Arabidopsis thaliana (thale cress). Its description in RNAcentral is "snRNA_04285". The record is from RNAcentral. Lineage: Eukaryota; Viridiplantae; Streptophyta; Magnoliopsida; Brassicales; Brassicaceae.
AAAAGAUUCUAGAAAUUUUCUAGA